CCGGUUUAUGGUUUAUGACGCGUCAUAAACAUAGUUUAAAAAGGGGGCGACGGCUGCUGUAGGGUCCCCGCAUUCAUCAAGUUGUCUGCAGUGUUCUUUUCAUUCAACAUGGCCUGCUCAUCAGAAGAAACCCACAGAUCAGAUAGUGCUAUUUGGUUGUAUAGGGACCCUUGUACCCCGUCACCACUGUCUUCUCCCGCCAUGGACGACUCUGCGUCGAGCAAUGAGGACAUUGAAAACCAGAUGCCUGAUGCACAGGUCAAUGAUGAACAUGUGCAAAGUGGGGGUGUGGCUAUGGAGACUGCUGAUUUAAAGGCUGUACAACCCGGACCCCACUGGCUUCAAGAGUAUGCCAUCUAUCUGGCCGGAUUGAAUCUGUCCUUCCUACACAUUGGAGAGGACAGUGAGCUGGAGGUGGACACUGCUAUGAGAGAUGACGGAUGGCCUGUAUCAAUACAGAUCAGUUUAAACCCUGCAUCGCUGGCUGUUCUGCGAUUUACCACGGGGCUCUGUGUGGUAGCCAUCAUCAGCCAUCAGAAGCAAGCGGCCUGCUGGGGAUGCCAAUGUGAUUGCCCAAGUCAACGACGCCAUUCAUGCCUGCAGGGAGCGACACAUCAUCACUACGAAUCCCACUACCAUGACAUUUGUGUUAUGCUGGACAGACACCCCUUCCUGUUACUUUUAGAAACUGUUUUAAAGAAGACUACAGGGUUGACUGUGUCCCCAGGAAAAAUAUAUGGUGUGGUUGAAUCUUAUCUAUGUGAUUUAAUAUGCAAUACCUAUGAUACCAAAAAACUGGAUUUAAUGACCACCGAAGGUGUGUCCGAUGAACAUCUGCUUCUGAUAUAUGAAGCCAUACAAAUGUGGCAUCCUACAUUGUCAUUAGGCAAACCAAAGCCUGUUGUCGGGUGGCGUUUAUAAUGGGGAUUUUGUUUUCUUAUGCGUAUGAUGCGGAUAGCAAGUCUGUAUCAGAUAGACUAGCCGUUUUGAUGUAUGCUGCCAUAGAAAAUGAUACGUUUGUCCAUCAUAAUGCUGAUUUGGUCAUGAAAUUCUUGCAUGACAAGCCUACUGAUCUAAUGUUAGCUGAAAUAUUUAACCAUUUCUCCGACGGGGAGUGUUUUACUGUCGGUCAUGUAAUGUGUAUAUGUGCUUUUGUGUCGGAUGUCUUGAAGAUGAAUAAUGCCUCAUACGCAGAGUGUAUUAGUACUGCUCGAAUGAUGUCUUGUAAAAUGGUGCAGAAAAAUAAAUCUGCCUGUAAACUAUAUCUGAACAUUGUUUUGAGCGGACAGACAUUUUAAAUAAAAGGAUGGAUUACUCUGA
Gadus macrocephalus (Pacific cod) is the source of this 1320-nucleotide long non-coding RNA. RefSeq lists it as uncharacterized. Lineage: Eukaryota; Metazoa; Chordata; Actinopteri; Gadiformes; Gadidae. The transcript is spliced from 2 exons. The record is from RefSeq and is a predicted model, not a curated record.